This is a non-coding RNA of Lonchura striata (white-rumped munia), 1407 nucleotides long. The record is from RefSeq and is a predicted model, not a curated record. NCBI's taxonomy places the organism in Eukaryota, Metazoa, Chordata, Aves, Passeriformes, Estrildidae.
CCUGCCGCCGGGGAUGGGCCCGGCGGGGUCCGGGCAGCUGCCAGGCGCGGCCCCGUCCCGGGCUGCGUGUACCGCCCUGCGAGCGCGGGGGCCUGUUCCCUACAUACAUACGCACAUGCCUUUUUCCUGGCUAAAGCUGACAGAAACAAGGAACAAGAGAAGACUCAAGAGAGAAUCUCAUCACAAGUAUUCUGGUACUUAAAAGGCUUCUCCAGAGAGGAUGGAGUCUCUCUCUUCGUAGGGAAGAAAAAGUACAAUGGGUACUGGUUGUGCCAGGUUUCAUCUUGAUACAAGAGAUAUUUUUUUUACAUUAAGAAUAACCAUUGUCUAGAACAACAUCCAGGUUCAUGGUGAACUUGCCUUCACUGGAAGUUUUCAAGACACAACUGAGCAGGGUGCUAGAUAAUUCAUCUAGCUUCCCUUUCCCGCACAAGGUUGGACUAGAUAAUCUUUUAAGGUUCCUUCCAGCCUUGGCUGUACUAUGUUCCUAGGAAUAUGCUAGCAGGCUGGAAACAUCUCACAGAAGGCACCAUGAUUCUUGUGUGGCUUGCAAUAACCAAUGGAACAAUGUGGAACAUGGACCUGCCACUCCAGCCUUGUUGGGUGCACAGCCACGUCCUCUGUGUGACUCUGCUUUCUUGUUGCUUGUGGAUGUGUUUGGAAAACAGCCUAUGAAUGCACAUGGAGGACCCAAGGAUGCCACCAGAUAAUCAUAUUUCUAAUUGAUAUGUGAGUCAUAUGUUAUGUGUGCUGAAAGUCAGUGUUCUGUAAUGUAAAAGAAAAAUCAAAAAGAUCUGAUUCUUUUACAGAAGUACUUGUUAACACAUUUUGCCAUGUAUCAUUAGGACAGUAUUUCUUUCUAGAAGGUAUCUUUAAAAAAUGAUCAGUCAAAAUCAUCUGUAAUCAAGAGAACACAUUUCUAUCAGUGGAAGAAUAAAGCCAAUAAAAUUAUAGAAGGAAGUACACAGUUUAUAAUUUUUUGUGUUUUCUCUAGAAAGGAGAGAAUUUCUUGUUCUAGACUAGAAGCUUCUAGUCCUGUUUCGUAAAAGCAGCCUUCUUCAGGCCAUUACUGUAGCUGUUGCUUCAACAGAUCAAUGUAAUAGAUGUGAUGAGCCAGUUAACUUGCUAAGGCCUAACUUUUGGCAUAAUCUCAGCAUUUCAUUGUCUAAUUCAUUUACCUUUAUGAGACCUGGAGGAAUGUGCCCUCUUGUGAAUAUCAAUUUGUGUCCAUUGGUCUCUACUCAUGAAGAGUAAGUUGCUGGUACUGCCACCACUAAUGGCAUCUGAGCUGACUGGUAUCCUGGAAUAAUGUAUGCAUUAUAGGCCAGAUCACAUUGUACAAAUCAUACGUAAGACAUAUGCAAUCCAAACAACAGCCAACAAUGUUAAUACUGUCAGCAUGCAAAA